Molecule: long non-coding RNA, 549 nt
Organism: Vigna angularis (adzuki bean)
Lineage: Eukaryota; Viridiplantae; Streptophyta; Magnoliopsida; Fabales; Fabaceae
Exons: 3
Source: RefSeq, a predicted model, not a curated record
AAAAAUCAGAAUUCCUUCAUUUUGCUAGCUUUCUUUCUUUCUCUCUCUAAAACCCUUGUCCUAAAAUUCUCUCUGCCUUCUCUCUAGAUUUUCUCUUUGUUGAAUCGAUCAAAUUUUGAUUUGAAGGUGUUUCCGCGCUCGCUGCACCAAGGGCUUCAGUUUGAACCGAACGUUUUUCCAUUCCGAUCGGUGCUGUCAAACUCGCCUCUGUGGGGAGGACUGCUAGAGCGUUCCUAGGAGUGGUACUGUUAAGCUUUCCAGGAUAGAGGAACCUUAAAAACCUGAGUUGGCACAUCCCUGAUCAUAGAGCAGCCCUGGCCUGGUCCAGUCAGUUGUGACUAGUCAUAUGUGUUGGCGUCGAAGGUGAGUUUGAUGCGUUCAGACAUCUGGUCCUCUCCGGUGACCAAUUGGGGUAAAGAAAGAUCUCUACUAGGAUGAAAAUAAAAUAAAACAAGUUGAUCGUAGAUGCAUAAAGUUAUCAUGUGUUAAUUUCUAGUCAAUUAUAAUUUUAGGAAAUCAAUCACUGUGUGUUUGGAAUUUAAAGUAAGG